CGCAUCUGUGCAUGCAGCAUAUCAAUAAGCGGAGGAAAAGAAACUAACAAGGAUCCCCCUAGUAACGGCGAGUGAAGCGGGAAGAGCUCAAAUUUGAAAUCUUAAAGGGUUUCCCCUUACGAAUUGUAGUUUAAAGAAGUGUUUUCUGUUGAGGUUUUGGUAAAAGUUCUUUGGAAUAGGACAUCAUAGAGGGUGAGAAUCCCGUAUUUGACCUUUACUUUCAACUUUGUGAUACAGCUUUCAAAGAGUCGGAUUGUUUGGGAAUGCAUGUCCAAAAUGGGUGGUAAAUUUCAUCUAAAGCUAAAUAUUGGCGAGAGACCGAUAGCGAACAAGUACCGUGAGGGAAAGAUGAAAAGAACUUUGAAAAGAGAGUUAAACAGUACGUGAAAUUGUCAAAAGGGAAGCGUUUGACACCAGUGUUGUUUUUCUGAAAAUCAAUUAAAGAACUGUUUAUGCUAAGUUGUUUAGACUUUAUCAGCUAUCUGUUUAGUUUUGAGCUUUUCUUUAAUGCACUUUUCAGUUAACAAGUCAACAUCAAUUUCUUUUGCUGUAAAAAAGCUUGAGGAAGGCGGCUUGAGAUUCGUCUUAAGUGUUUAUAGCCUCUUGCCUAUGCAGUCGGAGAGAUUGAGGUCUGCAGCGUAGAUCCUUCGGGGCUAAAUGCAUUUGUGCUAAGUUAUAGCAUUUUAUAGACAACUUGUUGACUAUGAUUUGUCUUGUAGCUUACUCGCUUAUGUUAUUUUACCUACGCUUAGGAUGUUGAAGAUGUAGCACAUCAU
RNAcentral lists this ribosomal RNA (776 nucleotides) under uncultured Neocallimastigales. RNAcentral's name for it is "partial large subunit ribosomal RNA". It matches the Rfam family "Eukaryotic large subunit ribosomal RNA", at positions 26 to 635 of the family's 3401-position model. The record is from RNAcentral. Lineage: Eukaryota; Fungi; Neocallimastigomycota; Neocallimastigomycetes; Neocallimastigales.